Molecule: ribosomal RNA, 279 nt
Filed under: Triticum aestivum (bread wheat)
Lineage: Eukaryota; Viridiplantae; Streptophyta; Magnoliopsida; Poales; Poaceae
Description: partial small subunit ribosomal RNA
Source: RNAcentral
AUGGACUGCUCGCUGGCGGCGCUGAAGCUGUUGGCCUCGCAGCUCGCGAGCUCCACCUCCUCCGAGGGCUCCUCCCCGGCGCAGAUGCUCUUGGGCAUCCGCUUCCAGCGCGCCUGGAUCCAGGGCGUGGUGGUGGGCGCGGACUACAGCAUCGGCGACGGGAGGUUGUUCGUGGAUGACGGCUCCUGCGGCGUCACUGAGCUCAUGCUCCGACCCGAGGAUGCCAAGGGCCAGCCCUGGCGCCCAGGAUCUCCCAAACCUCCCUCGAAAUGCAGGUGA